RNAcentral lists this ribosomal RNA (481 nucleotides) under uncultured bacterium. Its description in RNAcentral is "partial 16S ribosomal RNA". It matches the Rfam family "Bacterial small subunit ribosomal RNA", at positions 30 to 506 of the family's 1533-position model. The record is from RNAcentral.
AUUGAACGCUGGCGGCAUGCCUUACACAUGCAAGUCGAACGGUAACGGGCCUUCGGGUGCCGACGAGUGGCGAACGGGUGAGUAAUACAUCGGAACGUGCCCGAUCGUGGGGGAUAACGAGGCGAAAGCUUUGCUAAUACCGCAUACGAUCUACGGAUGAAAGCAGGGGACCGCAAGGCCUUGCGCGGACGGAGCGGCCGGUGGCAGAUUAGGUAGUUGGUGGGAUAAAAGCUUACCAAGCCGACGAUCUGUAGCUGGUCUGAGAGGAUGAUCAGCCACACUGGGACUGAGACACGGCCCAGACUCCUACGGGAGGCAGCAGUGGGGAAUUUUGGACAAUGGGCGCAAGCCUGAUCCAGCCAUGCCGCGUGCAGGAUGAAGGCCUUCGGGUUGUAAACUGCUUUUGUACGGAACGAAAAGCCUUCUUUUAAUACAGGAGGGUCAUGACGGUACCGUAAGAAUAAGCACCGGCUAACUACGU